This 489-nucleotide ribosomal RNA is filed under the name uncultured bacterium. RNAcentral describes it as "partial 16S ribosomal RNA". It matches the Rfam family "Bacterial small subunit ribosomal RNA", at positions 28 to 507 of the family's 1533-position model. The record is from RNAcentral.
GACGAACGCUGGCGGCGUGCUUAACACAUGCAAGUCGAACGGAAAGGCCCCCACCUUGGUGGGGGUGCUCGAGUGGCGAACGGGUGAGUAACACGUGGGUGAUCUGCCCUGUACUUCGGGAUAAGCUUGGGAAACUGGGUCUAAUACCGGAUAGGACCAUGGUUUAGUGUCUCAUGGUGGAAAAAUUAUUGUUUUGGUGCAGGAUGAGCUCGCGGCCUAUCAGCUUGUUGGUGGGGUAAUGGCCUACCAAGGCGUCGACGGGUAGCCGGCCUGAGAGGGUGGACGGCCACAUUGGGACGGAGAUACGGCCCAGACUCCUACGGGAGGCAGCAGUGGGGAAUAUUGCACAAUGGGCGCAAGCCUGAUGCAGCGACGCCGCGUGGGGGAUGACGGCCUUCGGGUUGUAAACUCCUUUCGUUAGGGACGAAGCCACACCUUUUUUGGGUGUGGUGACGGUACCUUUGUGAAGAAGCACCGGCUAACUACGUG